UUAAUUGAAGCCAAAAAGAGGCAACUUAUUGUUAAUAAGAAAAUUGAUUUAAAUCCAAUUAAA
This 63-nucleotide transfer RNA is filed under the name Batracomorphus nigromarginattus. Its description in RNAcentral is "tRNA-Asn". Lineage: Eukaryota; Metazoa; Arthropoda; Insecta; Hemiptera; Cicadellidae. The record is from RNAcentral. RNAcentral also lists the same sequence under 1 other name.